ACGAACGCUGGCGGCGUGCUUAACACAUGCAAGUCGAACGGAAAGGCCCCGCCUUUGUGGGGUGCCCGAGUGGCGAACGGGGGAGUAACAAGUGGGUAACCUGCCCUUGACUUUGGGAUAACUUUAGGAAACUGGGGCUAAUACCGGAUAGGAGCCCCUGCUGCAUGGUGGGGGUUGGAAAGUUUCGGCGGUUGGGGAUGGACUCGCGGCUUAUCAGCUUGUUGGUGGGGUAGUGGCUUACCAAGGCUUUGACGGGUAGCCGGCCUGAGAGGGUGACCGGCCACAUUGGGACUGAGAUACGGCCCAGACUCCUACGGGAGGCAGCAGUGGGGAAUAUUGCACAAUGGGCGGAAGCCUGAUGCAGCAACGCCGCGUGCGGGAUGACGGCCUUCGGGUUGUAAACCGCUUUCGCCUGUGACGAAGCGUGAGUGACGGUAAUGGGUAAAGAAGCACCGGCUAACUACGUG
Molecule: ribosomal RNA, 467 nt
Filed under: uncultured bacterium
Lineage: Bacteria
Description: partial 16S ribosomal RNA
Rfam family: Bacterial small subunit ribosomal RNA
Source: RNAcentral